RNAcentral lists this unclassified non-coding RNA (329 nucleotides) under soil metagenome. RNAcentral describes it as "partial contains 5.8S ribosomal RNA, internal transcribed spacer 2, and large subunit ribosomal RNA". The stretch from base 1 to 120 matches the Rfam family "5.8S ribosomal RNA", at positions 35 to 154 of the family's 154-position model. The record is from RNAcentral.
GAUGAAGAACGCAGCGAAAUGCGAUAAGUAAUGUGAAUUGCAGAAUUCAGUGAAUCAUCGAAUCUUUGAACGCACAUUGCGCCCCUUGGUAUUCCGAGGGGCAUGCCUGUUCGAGCGUCAUUAUAACCCCUCAAGCUCAGCUUGGUGUUGGGGCCUGCUGCACUGGCAGCCCUUAAAAUCAGUGGCGGCGCCAUCUGGCUCUAAGCGUAGUAAUUCUUCUCGCUAUGGAGUCCUGGUGGAUGCUUGCCAUCAACCCCCAAUUUUUCUAAGGUUGACCUCGGAUCAGGUAGGGAUACCCGCUGAACUUAAGCAUAUCAAUAAGCGGAGGA